AUAUCAAUAAGCGGAGGAAAAGAAACCAACAGGGAUUGCCCCAGUAACGGCGAGUGAAGCGGCAACAGCUCAAAUUUGAAAUCUGGCCCCUCGGGCCCGAGUUGUAAUUUGUAGAGGAUGCUUUUGGCAAGGUGCCGCCCGAGUUCCCUGGAACGGGACGCCGCAGAGGGUGAGAGCCCCGUCUGGCUGGCCACCGAGCCUCUGUAAAGCUCCUUCGACGAGUCGAGUAGUUUGGGAAUGCUGCUCAAAAUGGGAGGUAUAUGUCUUCUAAAGCUAAAUAUUGGCCAGAGACCGAUAGCGCACAAGUAGAGUGAUCGAAAGAUGAAAAGCACUUUGAAAAGAGGGUUAAACAGUACGUGAAAUUGUUGAAAGGGAAGCGCUCAUGACCAGACUUGGGCUUGGCGAAUCAUCCGGCGUUCUCGCCGGUGCACUUCGCCUCGCUCAGGCCAGCAUCAGUUCGCGCCGGGGGACAAAAGCUUCGGGAAUGUGGCUCCUCCGGGAGUGUUAUAGCCCGUUGCAUAAUACCCUGGUGCGGACUGAGGUUCGCGCAUCUGCAAGGAUGCUGGCGUAAUGGUCAUCAGCGACCCGUCUUGAAACACGGACCAAGGAGUCGUCUUCGUAUGCGAGUGUUCGGGUGUCAAACCCCUACGCGUAAUGAAAGUGAACGCAGGUGAGAGCUUCGGCGCAUCAUCGACCGAUCCUGAUGUUCUCGGAUGGAUUUGAGUAAGAGCAUACGGGGCCGGACCCGAAAGAAGGUGAACUAUGCCUGUAUAGGGUGAAGCCAGAGGAAACUCUGGUGGAGGCUCGCAGCGGUUCUGACGUGCAAAUCGAUCGUCAAAUAUGGGCAUGGGGGCGAAAGACUAAUC
This 866-nucleotide ribosomal RNA is filed under the name Hypomyces rosellus. RNAcentral describes it as "partial large subunit ribosomal RNA". It matches the Rfam family "Eukaryotic large subunit ribosomal RNA", at positions 40 to 936 of the family's 3401-position model. Lineage: Eukaryota; Fungi; Ascomycota; Sordariomycetes; Hypocreales; Hypocreaceae. The record is from RNAcentral.